This 429-nucleotide ribosomal RNA is filed under the name Actinomycetes bacterium. Its description in RNAcentral is "Actinobacteria bacterium partial 16S ribosomal RNA". It matches the Rfam family "Bacterial small subunit ribosomal RNA", at positions 355 to 776 of the family's 1533-position model. The record is from RNAcentral. Lineage: Bacteria; Bacillati; Actinomycetota; Actinomycetes.
UAGGGAAUCUUCCGCAAUGGGCGAAAGCCUGACGGAGCAACGCCGCGUGAGUGAUGAAGGUCUUCGGAUCGUAAAACUCUGUUAUUAGGGAAGAACAAAUGUGUAAGUAACUAUGCACGUCUUGACGGUACCUAAUCAGAAAGCCACGGCUAACUACGUGCCAGCAGCCGCGGUAAUACGUAGGUGGCAAGCGUUAUCCGGAAUUAUUGGGCGUAAAGCGCGCGUAGGCGGUUUUUUAAGUCUGAUGUGAAAGCCCACGGCUCAACCGUGGAGGGUCAUUGGAAACUGGAACACUUGAGUGAAGAAGAGGAAAGUGGAAUUCCAUGUGUAGCGGUGAAAUGCGCAGAGAUAUGGAGGAACACAAGGGGCGAAGGCGACUUUCUGGUCUGUAACUGACGCUGAUGUGUGAAAGCGUGGGGAUCAAACAGG